Molecule: unclassified non-coding RNA, 334 nt
Filed under: soil metagenome
Description: partial contains 5.8S ribosomal RNA, internal transcribed spacer 2, and large subunit ribosomal RNA
Rfam family: 5.8S ribosomal RNA (bases 1-120)
Source: RNAcentral
GAUGAAGAACGCAGCGAAAUGCGAUAAGUAAUGUGAAUUGCAGAAUUCAGUGAAUCAUCGAAUCUUUGAACGCACAUUGCGCCCCCCAGUAUUCUGGCGGGCAUGCCUGUUCGAGCGUCAUUUCAACCAUCAAGCCCUGCUUGUGUUGGGGUCCUGCGGCUGCCCGCAGGCCCUGAAAACCAGUGGCGGGCUCGCUAGUCACACCGAGCGGAGUAGCACAUCUCGCUCAGGGCGUGCGGCGGGCUCCAGCCGUUAAAGCACCCACCUUUCGCAAGGUUGACCUCGGAUCAGGUAGGAAUACCCGCUGAACUUAAGCAUAUCAAUAAGCGGAGGA